UGGGAAUUUGGACAAUGGGCGAAAGCCUGAUCCAGCAAUGCCGCGUGUGUGAAGAAGGCCUUCGGGUUGUAAAGCACUUUUGUCCGGAAAGAAAUCCUUGGCUCUAAUACAGUCGGGGGAUGACGGUACCGGAAGAAUAAGCACCGGCUAACUACGUGCCAGCAGCCGCGGUAAUACGUAGGGUGCAAGCGUUAAUCGGAAUUACUGGGCGUAAAGCGUGCGCAGGCGGUUUGCUAAGACCGAUGUGAAAUCCCCGGGCUCAACCUGGGAACUGCAUUGGUGACUGGCAGGCUAGAGUAUGGCAGAGGGGGGUAGAAUUCCACGUGUAGCAGUGAAAUGCGUAGAGAUGUGGAGGAAUACCGAUGGCGAAGGCAGCCCCCU
This 381-nucleotide ribosomal RNA is filed under the name uncultured bacterium. Its description in RNAcentral is "partial 16S ribosomal RNA". It matches the Rfam family "Bacterial small subunit ribosomal RNA", at positions 357 to 730 of the family's 1533-position model. The record is from RNAcentral.